GAGGGUGUAGUUCAGUGGUAGAGUGCACGCUUAGCAUGCAUGAGGUCAUGGGUUCAAGCCCCAGUACCUCUG
RNAcentral lists this transfer RNA (72 nucleotides) under Camelus bactrianus (Bactrian camel). It matches the Rfam family "tRNA". From Rfam's summary of the family: Transfer RNA (tRNA) molecules are approximately 80 nucleotides in length. Their secondary structure includes four short double-helical elements and three loops (D, anti-codon, and T loops). Further hydrogen bonds mediate the characteristic L-shaped molecular structure. tRNAs have two regions of fundamental functional importance: the anti-codon, which is responsible for specific mRNA codon recognition, and the 3' end, to which the tRNAs corresponding amino acid is attached (by aminoacyl-tRNA synthetases). tRNAs cope with the degeneracy of the genetic code in two manners: having more than one tRNA (with a specific anti-codon) for a particular amino acid; and 'wobble' base-pairing, i.e. permitting non-standard base-pairing at the 3rd anti-codon position. Lineage: Eukaryota; Metazoa; Chordata; Mammalia; Artiodactyla; Camelidae. RNAcentral also lists the same sequence under 2 other names. The record is from Rfam by way of RNAcentral.